GCCCUCCUACCGCUUCUAUUGCAGUUAUCAAUACCAAAUUUGAACCAUCGAUAGACCUCAUUAUGAAGUUUUACCAGAUGAACUUUUGUAGGAUUUCAUCGUCCCCUUGAGAAGUAAUCUCCCUUUUAUUGAUUUUUUUCAACAUGGCCCCCUCGUUGUUUUUAAAGAUAUCAUGACUUUAUUUGGACAAUAGGUAGAUCUAAUCAUGAUGUAUUACCAUAUGAGGCUGCAAAGGAUUUCAUCAUCCCCUAUGAGAGUUAUAUCCC
RNAcentral lists this long non-coding RNA (266 nucleotides) under Mytilus galloprovincialis (Mediterranean mussel). The record is from RNAcentral. Lineage: Eukaryota; Metazoa; Mollusca; Bivalvia; Mytilida; Mytilidae.